UACGGGGGGGGCAAGCGUUGCUCGGAAUCACUGGGCGUAAAGGGUGCGUAGGCGGGUUUUUAAGUCAGGGGUGAAAUCCUGGAGCUCAACUCCAGAACUGCCUUUGAUACUGAAGAUCUUGAGUCCGGGAGAGGUGAGUGGAACUGCGAGUGUAGAGGUGAAAUUCGUAGAUAUUCGCAAGAACACCAGUGGCGAAGGCGGCUCACUGGCCCGGUACUGACGCUGAGGCACGAAAGCGUGGGGAGCAAACAGG
This 253-nucleotide ribosomal RNA is filed under the name uncultured bacterium. Its description in RNAcentral is "partial 16S ribosomal RNA". It matches the Rfam family "Bacterial small subunit ribosomal RNA", at positions 524 to 776 of the family's 1533-position model. The record is from RNAcentral.